This 4826-nucleotide long non-coding RNA is filed under the name Sus scrofa (pig). RNAcentral describes it as "lncRNA (ENSSSCG00000054029.1)". The record is from RNAcentral. Lineage: Eukaryota; Metazoa; Chordata; Mammalia; Artiodactyla; Suidae.
CUCCAUGUCUGAGUCUGUUUCUAUUUUGUAGAUAGGUUCCUUUGUGCCAUAUUUUAGAUCCCACAUAUCUGUAUCACUAUGAAGUUUGAUUUUAUUUCUAGUCUUAAGUGUUAAAAAAAGAGAAGAAACCGCUCUGCAAGGGGACUUUUUGAUGGUUGGGAAGUGGCUGGUCUUCACAGCCACCCAGACAUUCUGAAAUACCAGGCUUAAUCAUGGAUGUAGGGAGGGGUUGGGCUAAAGAGAAGAACACAUUCUUUUUUGCCUUUUUUUUUUUUUUAAGGCUUCUGGCUUAUGGAAGUUCCCAGGCUAGGAGUUGAAUUGGAGCUGCAGCUGCAGGCCUACACCACAGCCACAGCAACAGGAGAUCCAAGAUGUGUCUGCAACCUACACCACAGCUCACGGCAGCACUGGAUCCUGAGAGAGGCCAGGGAUUGAACCUGCAUGUUCAUAGAUACUAUUCGGGUGCAUUACCACUGAGCCAUAAUGGGAACUCCAGAAACGCAUUCUUAACCUAACUCAGGUGACAGAGGAAAGGGCUGAAACCUCUUUCUUGGCAACUAAAGGAACUUUAUGGAAUUGCCCAAAGGUAGAGAGAUAUGGUCUAGAUGCCUCCAUUGUGUCUUUUCUGACUUGGGGAUUCAGGACCACCCCUCCUCUAACUAGAGUCAGGGAACUUGCAAAGGGCUUCCUUUGACUUUACAAACAAAUUGAAGCACUGAACUCCUUGAAAGGAUGGAGCCAAGUAGGUAUUAGAAUGGCCACCGUUACCAAAUGUGGCUUUCUUGGUUUUCAUCUCUGUGUCCAGAGCUGCUCUGGGCCCUGGGCCAUGUUAGUUCUAGGAGGGCUGAGAUUUCUAUUUAGUUCCUUUGCUGUUGCAGCCCUAACACCCUAGAAUAGUGUCUGGAACAUAAUAGAUCUUCAACAGAUAUUUAAGUGAAUGAAUAAAAUUAGGUAUAAGAAACCAGCUGUUUAAAAAAGCAGAAAGGGGGAGUUUUCCUUCUAGCUCCGUUGUUAAAGAGUCUGACUAGGAACCAUGAGGUUGUGGGUUCGAUCCCUGACCUCCUUCAGUGGAUUAAGGAUCUGGCAUUGCCGUGAGCUGUGGUGUAGGUUGCAGAUGCAGCUCGGAUCUGGCAUCGCUGUGACUCUGGUGUAGGCCGGUGGCUACAGCUCCAAUUAGACCUCUAGCCUGGAAACCUCCAUAUGCUGUGAGAGAGGCUCCCCCAAAUAAAAUAAAAUAAUAAUAAAAUAAAAUAAAGUGGCUGCAGAAAUUUCCAUACAAUGGAUGGACGAUCAUCAUUGACUUAGUGGCUUCUCUGUUGCUGACUAUCAGGUCCACAUUCCUUUUCUGCCCACUUACCCCCACCCCCUUUCUAGGCCCCUGUUACAUAGUCUCUGGUUGCUCUGAGGACUUCCCUUCCCAUACCCCUCAAGUACUCCAUUUCCCAAAUUACCUGCUUUUCUGCUCCCUCAACCCAAGCUUUGGUUCUUCAGAGUAGCUGAUUGGUGCAGGGGAUCAUUGGGAGCUUUGAACUGAACUCAGUUCUGCUCAUAUAUCAACAGCUAGCAGACCUCUUACAGGUCUCUUACCAGUCCAGAGCAACUUGCAUUGUUAAAAGAAGCAGCUUGUUAAUCCAAAUUAAUCUUUGCAUUGAGGUGGCUGAGCAAAUCAAAAGGAAAACUUUCUUUGUAGGGUAGGGAAACACUGGGUCAUGACGGUCACCUUACAACUAGGCUAAUCCUGCUUGAGACUCUUUCCUCUAACCAAGUCCCCUAAAAUAUUGCUGGCUUUCCAUAGUUGAGUUCAUUCCUUCACUUCUGACCCUAUAGAUCUAAACACCAGUAUUUGUUUUCCCUUCCCCCUCCUCUCCAGUGGUUUCCAUGGCAACAGUAGUUGCUAUUGAAAGGAAGGAGACAGGUGUCCCCACUGUCUUUUCUAACAGUGGGUUUAUCUAUAAAUUGAGAUUAGUCUCUUCUAAACAAGGCUAAUCAACAAAUAAAAGGAAUAAGAGUAAAACAAACACAAACUAGGGUUUAAGUCAUUUGUUUUCCUAAACAUCUGUGGUUAGUAACGCUGCGUCACCUUGACUUUCCUUUUAUCAUAUCAGUGCAUGUAUGGGUUAUGGUGGGAAAGGGCUGCUUGGAAGAGACUGGAAGCGGGAUGGGUCUGAGCAAGCAAGGGCUUAGGGCCAGAGGUCAGCUGUGGCAGCAAGGAGCAGAGUUAUCUGGACCAUUGCUAAAGAUCUCAGCCCAAAGGAAUCCACACUCAAUUAGUUUACAGUUUCACAGGAGGUGGGCGAUCAUAGUCAGAUGCCAGAGAUGAACUUGAAAGCAUUGGGGCCCAGAGCAGAGGCUGGGAUUAUCUCCCUGGAAAGGAGAAGCUAAGAGUCUACUUUAAAAGUAAACAUAUCUUGACUUCUGCCCUGGACAUUAUCUAGGACAAUGUUAAUGGGAUGGUUGGGAAGCCUGGGAAAGAGUGUACUUCAUGACCUCAACUCAUUUUAUUUAUUCUGUCAGAGAUAUCGGUCCUGUGCUGGGUCCUAUGUCAUUUAUUUAUUUGUUUAUUUAUUCCCCCCACCCCAAGGCAUAUGGAGUUCCCAGGCCAGGGAUCAGAUUUGAGCCAUAGUAACGACCUAGCUGCAGCUGCAGCAACAGGGCACCUUUAACCCAUGACACCUGACCAGGUAUCGAAUCUAUGUCCCAGUGCUGCAAAGAUGACCCUGAUCCCAAAGCACCACAGUGGGAACUCCCAAAGUCCCUUUUUAGACAAACGCAUCUUCUUUCUGACUAGGCUGCCCCCAGCUUUCUACACAGGCUUCUUUUUUGGCUGAUCAAAAAGAAACCCUCAGAAAUGUGGCUUCAUAAACCCUGCAGAUCAUUUCCCUGGUGAUGCAACCACAAGGCUGCCUGCCUUCUCUACCUCCUUGAAAGUCAGCUUCAUUCUGUCAAUGAAAAAUGUUGCCUGCCCUAUCAGCAGACUGAAAAUGCUGCAGCCAUCAAGGCACCAGCCACUAUGCUGCCCCUACGGUGAGUCCUGAGGGAACUAAGGAUGGAGGCAACAGGUUUACUGGCUGCCAAGCCCUCAGUCACUGCAGCUACUCCCAGUGGUGCACCCGGAGGGGACUCAGGGUGAGAAAGAACUGGUCCUGGAUAGCUAAGGUGAUAUCAAAACACCUUAGCACCAUAAUUUGAAAGGCAUAAUUUCAAUGAACCCAGACUCAAGCAUCUUUCCAUACACAGAAAAGCACUGUCACUUGGGAUGUCUGGUUUUCUUUAAUUAAUCUCUUGAUGCUCCAACUACCUGGUUGUGGUUGCGAAACUCCUAGUCCUGGCUCCUCACUCAACUCUUCAGAGUGGUCCCUUAGCUCUGAGAGGCUGUCUUCAGGAAUUAAGUCCUUGGAAAUUCCGCCCAGUAAAACAGAAUUCUCAAAUUUUAGGCGGUGCAUUUUUUUAUGUCAACAAUUGGUACCUUGCCUCCUCCUUGCAAUCCUCUUCUUCAUUAAACAGUUUUACAUACUGAGGUUUAAUGGACACCCAUUACACGGCACAUAUGUAAAUCAUAUAGUUUGAUGUUUUGAUAUGUGAAGUCAUCAUGAAACUAUGAUCUCAUCAUUACCAUCAAGAUGGUACCCCACUGUGUGGGCGGUACCACUAUUAGCUUAUCCAUGUACCUGUACCUGUUGAUGGACUUGGGGUUAUCUUGCAAAUAAAGCUGCCAUGAACAUUUGUGUACUGGUCUUUGUAAGGAUAGCGGCUAUCCUUUUUCUUGGGUACAUAUCUAGGAGCGAAAUGGCUGGAUCAUACGAUAGAUGCAUGUUCAGCUUUUUAAGAAAAUGUUUUCCAGUGUUGUAGCAUUUUGCCUUCCCAGCAGCAAUAGAUGAGAAUUCCAGUUGUUUUACAUCCUUGUCAGUAUUUGCUAUGGUCAGUCUUUUGAUUUUUAGUCGUUCUAACAGGUAUGUGAUUUUAUCUCAUUUUGUUUUAAUUUGCACCGACUUAAUGACUAAUGAUGUGGAACAUCUUUUCAUGUGGUAGUUUGCCAUGCAUGUAUCUUCUUUGAUGAAGUAUCUCCUCAAGACUUUUCUACAUUUUGGGAGAGGUUAUUUUGUUAUUACUGAGUUCUUUAUGUAUUCUGGAUCUAAGAUAUCAGACAUAUGAUCUGCAAAUAUUUUCUCCCAGUCUAUGGUGUGUCUUUUCAUUUUCCUAAUAGUAUCUUUUGAAGAGUAAAUGUUUAAAAUUUUGGUGAAAUACAGCUUAUCAAUUUAUUUGUUUAUUAUUAUUAUUUGCUUCUUAGGGCUGCACCCACAGCAUAUGGAAGUUCCCAGGCUAGGGGUCGAAUUGGAGUUACAGCUGCCGGCUAUACCACAGCCAUAGCAAUGCCACAUUUGAGCCAUGUCUGUGACCUACACCACAGCUCACGGCAACAGCAACACUAGAUCCUUAACCCACUGAGUGGGGCCAGGGAUGGAACAUCCAUCUUCAUGAAUGCUAGUCUGAUUUAUUUCUGCUGAGCCACAAUGGGAACUCCUAUCAAUUUAUUUUUUAAUGGAUAUUGCUUCUAAUAUCAUCCAUAAGAAAUAUUUACCUAAUCUAAGGUUACAAAGAUUUUCCCUUAUGUCUUCUCUAGAAGUUUUAUAAUUUUAUGUUUUAUAUUUAGGUCUAUAGACAUUUUAAAUUAAUUUUUGUACAUGGUGUGAAGUAUUAAUCAAUUCUUUUCCCCUUCACAGAUAUUUAAUUGUUCCAGCAGCAUUCGUUGAAAAGACUAUCCUUUUUCCACAGAAUUGCCUUAGCACCUUUGUCAAAAGUUAAUUUUUUUUUACAAUAUAUGUGUG